RNAcentral lists this ribosomal RNA (388 nucleotides) under Mesorhizobium sp. RNAcentral describes it as "partial 23S ribosomal RNA". It matches the Rfam family "Bacterial large subunit ribosomal RNA", at positions 2525 to 2925 of the family's 2925-position model. Lineage: Bacteria; Pseudomonadati; Pseudomonadota; Alphaproteobacteria; Hyphomicrobiales; Phyllobacteriaceae. The record is from RNAcentral.
CUCGAUGUCGACUCAUCGCAUCCUGGGGCUGGAGCAGGUCCCAAGGGUAUGGCUGUUCGCCAUUUAAAGCGGUACGUGAGUUGGGUUCAGAACGUCGUGAGACAGUUCGGUCCCUAUCUGCCGUGGGUGUAGGAAUAUUGAAAGGAUCUGUCCCUAGUACGAGAGGACCGGGAUGGACGGAUCUCUGGUGGACCUGUUGUGGCGCCAGCCGCAUUGCAGGGUAGCUAUAUCCGGACGGGAUAACCGCUGAAGGCAUCUAAGCGGGAAACCCACCUUGAAACGAGUAUUCCCUGAGAGCCGUGGAAGACGACCACGUUGAUAGGCCGGGUAUGGAAGUGCGGCAACGCAUGAAGUUUACCGGUACUAAUAGCUCGAUCGGCUUGAUCGU